Long non-coding RNA from Cervus elaphus (red deer), 1442 nucleotides. RefSeq lists it as uncharacterized. The transcript has 4 exons. Lineage: Eukaryota; Metazoa; Chordata; Mammalia; Artiodactyla; Cervidae. The record is from RefSeq and is a predicted model, not a curated record.
GGCAAAGGAGUGUUUCCAGAUGUUUGAAAAAUAUCGUUUUAGGCAGGAUGUUUAGCAAAUGAGUUUUUACUGUGGUUGUGCUUACUUUUGAGGAAGUUCAGAAAUUUCAACUAAAUAGUAGAUGGGAAGCCCAUCUUGAAAUUCAAUUUCAGGUUGCAUUGAAAUUAUUUCUGAAGAUAUAUUAUCUAGGAAGAUCACUUCAGGAUAGAAAAGGUAGAUAUUUUGGUGGAAAACCACUUGGAGGUGAAAUUGUCAAAAGCUUAGCAAGAAGAAAAAAUAUAUAAGUGAAAUAAAGAGAGAAGGCAGAGGUCUGUUUAAUUUUCAAAUUUAAUAAUAGUCUGUGGAUAAUUGCGAGUUGGCAGAUAUAAUGUUUCCAGUCAAGCUUUGCCAUCUAGAGAGAAGUAUUUCGUAUCUACAACAUCUACAAAGCACAAACACUGUCCAGGGACGCUGCAUGGAAUUCAUCUCUUUCCAGGAUUUCAAAGAAUUUGGAAGCAAAUCCUGAAUACCUUCAAGAACUUGGUUUUGCUGCUGGAUGAGGAAUCCUUGAUUAAAGACUUCAGUCAUUACAGCCUGUGAAGAUUAAUGAUCUGCUAGUAUUUUUCCCCUAGCUUCCUUAUAAAGCACUCUCUUGUAUGUUUAACACAAAAUAGUCCAGGGCAUAACAAAAACACAUGAGAUUAGACUUUAUACAGAUAGUCAAACAAAAGGGAAAGAAAAUAAUGUUAAUUGAAAAAAUAUCUAUCAAAUGUUUCAUUAAAAAUCGAAUGGCCUAAUUAUACAAAGGCCUAUCUGUAAUUUUCAAUACCAUAUGACGUUCCUCCAAACUAAAAGGCCUAAUUGUUAUACACCAUGAUAUAGACCUGAUUGCCUUAUACAAGAGGAAAGGGAGAGAGACUUAAACAGCACAUUGGAAUUCAUAUCCCAAUGGGAUCAGAGAAAGUAGAAUAAAUAACCAAUAAUAUAAUUUAGUAGAAUAACUAGAAAAGAUGAGAGAAGUUGUUUAAAAUAUGCAACAAGGAUAAAAAACUGUAAAAUGAAACAUGCAGAAAGGUAUAGUAGAAUAAAUAAACAAUGAUAGGUUAUGUAGAUAAAUAAUCCAUAAAGUCCCAAAUUGGAAGUUUAGUUUAAGAAACAUGCCAGAAGAAAUCAGCCAAGAAUAAAUACAUAGAAAACUUAAAGAAGAAUUAAGUGAUAUGUGGGAAAGAAACAUAAACAAAAAAUCCUAAAUAAUAUUAUAGGAAAAGUAAGACUAAAAAAAUGGAGAGAUGGAAAUACUUGAGGAAACAUUCAAGUAACAUUUCUUAGCAAUAUAGCUAAUCAUUAAAGAAGUCAGAAUGGCCAUCAUCAAAAAGUCUACAAAUAAUAAAUGUUGGAGAAGGUGUGGAGAAAAUGGAACCCUCUUGCACUUUUGGUGGGAAUGUGAAUUGGCACAACAACUA